GAUGAACGCUGGCGGCGUGCCUAAUACAUGCAAGUCGAGCGAACGGACGAGAAGCUUGCUUCUCUGAUGUUAGCGGCGGACGGGUGAGUAACACGUGGAUAACCUACCUAUAAGACUGGGAUAACUUCGGGAAACCGGAGCUAAUACCGGAUGAUAUUUUGAACCGCAUGGUUCAAAAGUGAAAGACGGUCUUGCUGUCACUUAUAGAUGGAUCCGCGCUGCAUUAGCUAGUUGGUAAGGUAAUGGCUUACCAAGGCAACGAUGCAUAGCCGACCUGAGAGGGUGAUCGGCCACACUGGAACUGAGACACGGUCCAGACUCCUACGGGAGGCAGCAGUAGGGAAUCUUCCGCAAUGGGCGAAAGCCUGACGGAGCAACGCCGCGUGAGUGAUGAAGGUCUUCGGAUCGUAAAACUCUGUUAUUAGGGAAGAACAUAUGUGUAAGUAACUGUGCACAUCUUGACGGUACCUAAUCAGAAAGCCACAGCUAACUACGUG
Molecule: ribosomal RNA, 497 nt
Filed under: uncultured bacterium
Lineage: Bacteria
Description: partial 16S ribosomal RNA
Rfam family: Bacterial small subunit ribosomal RNA
Source: RNAcentral